GGCCCUAUCGUCUAGCGGUCAGGACGUGUCUCUUUCAAGGACAAAACCCGGGUUCGACUCCCGGUAGGGCCG
Molecule: transfer RNA, 72 nt
Filed under: bacterium
Lineage: Bacteria
Also listed under: 1 other name
Description: tRNA-Glu
Rfam family: tRNA
About the family: Transfer RNA (tRNA) molecules are approximately 80 nucleotides in length. Their secondary structure includes four short double-helical elements and three loops (D, anti-codon, and T loops).
Source: RNAcentral